AGAGUUUGAUCCUGGCUCAGGAUGAACGCUAGCUACAGGCUUAACACAUGCAAGUCGAGGGGAAACGACAUCGAAAGCUUGCUUUUGAUGGGCGUCGACCGGCGCACGGGUGAGUAACGCGUAUCCAACCUGCCCACCACUUGGGGAUAACCUUGCGAAAGUAAGACUAAUACCCAAUGACGUCUCUAGAAGACAUCUGAAGGAGAUUAAAGAUUUAUCGGUGAUGGAUGGGGAUGCGUCUGAUUAGCUUGUUGGCGGGGUAACGGCCACCAAGGCGACGAUCAGUAGGGGUUCUGGAGAGGAAGGUCCCCCANAUUGGAACUGAGACACGGUCAAACUCCUAGGGAGCA
RNAcentral lists this ribosomal RNA (350 nucleotides) under uncultured bacterium. RNAcentral describes it as "bacterial SSU rRNA". It matches the Rfam family "Bacterial small subunit ribosomal RNA", at positions 8 to 349 of the family's 1533-position model. The record is from RNAcentral.